This 3367-nucleotide long non-coding RNA is filed under the name Homo sapiens (human). Its description in RNAcentral is "HSALNT0007989". Lineage: Eukaryota; Metazoa; Chordata; Mammalia; Primates; Hominidae. The record is from RNAcentral.
UUUUUUAAUGUAGAGACAGGGUUUCGCUAUGUUGGCCAGACUGGUCUCAAACUCCUGACCUCAAGUGAUCUGCCCGCCUUGGCCUCCCAAAGUGCCAGAUUACAGGCGUGAGCCACUGCGUGUGGCCCAAAAUUUCUUAAUAUAGCACCAUCUUUGAUUCUUCAAUUUCUGGAAUAAACUCCACUUGAUCUUGUGUAUUAUUCUUUUUUUUUUUUUUUUUUGAGAUAGAGUUUCACUCUUGUUGCCCAGGCUAGCGUGCAAUGGCACAAUCUCUGCUCACUGCAACCUCUGCCUCCCGAGUAGCUGGGAUUAUAGGCGUGCACCACCACGCCCAGCUAAUUUUUGUAUUUUUAGUAGAGACAAGGUUUCACCAUGUUGGCCAGGCUGGUAUCAAACUCCUGACCUCAGGUGAUCUGCCCAGCUUGGCCUCCCAAAGUGCUGGGAUUACAGGUGUGAGCCACCAUGCCCAGCCUGCUGGCACACAUUCUAAAGAGAGCCAACUGGCACAACCUGAGGACUUCUGAGAGGACCAGAGCACCAGUGGCCUCCCCAUCCACCUUCCCUCCCUUCUCCUCCAGGUUACCUAAGGGAACCCCAGAGGAAUUCAAGGAGGAUGGGGUGAUUCUGAAGCUACGGUCCAGCAUGGCAUGCUAUGGUCUUGAAGCCUAUGAAAUUCACUCUUCAACAAACUUGGCAUCUACGUUAAGCAUGUGAAUGUACAGAGUUAUCAAUCAACAAUAGCCUUUAAGAUUAUUGUAAUCCCCUAAGUACUUCGGCCCCAGGUAGCCACCCACUGCUGGAUGUCAGAGGACAUCACGGUGCUCUUUCCUGCCUGCACCCCUAGUCUGGAAUGCUUACCCCACAUCUCUGCUGAGUGAACUCCUUCCUAUUCAUGCUUCAAGACCCAGCUCAGUCCUGGCUCAGCUGACCCCUUGGUUCCUGUGUCUGUUCCCUGCUGGGCUGCAGGUAACCAAUUGAAAGAUAAGAUACCAUAGACAGACAUCAACUUUAUUCCUGACUAAAGCUCAAAAGAAGGGCGUGGCGUAGAUUUACAGUGACCAUCCUAACACUCACGCGCAGAGUCACACGGUCCCACACUGGGCUGGACCAGCCCUGCUAAGCCCACAAGAGGUGGGGAGAACAGCAGCCGCUUCCUCUUUGUGGGGCCCAGGCCUGAGCUUCCCUCCGUUCCUGCCCCGGAUCUGACCACUGGGAUUGUGGGAGAGGGUGUCAAAGGACAGUUUUCUCCCAUAGUUUUCCCUUCCAGGGAGAAGAGUGGAAAUCCCCUCAUCUCAAAGGCAACAUGAGAUUGGAGAAUGUACUCUCAAAUCCCCAAACAGCAACAGAAUUGUUCUGCUUGCUUCAGAGCAGAGGCUCCGCAGCCCUUUCCAGACCUCUCCCAAGCGUGGAAAUGGACGAAGGGCUGGAUGGGGCUCAGAGGGGAGGUCAGGCGGGACUCCCUCAGACAGCAGCUGGGGUUCCUCUGUUCCAGGCCCAGCUCUCACUGAAACAGGAGAGGGUGUGAAGGAAUGGAUUUGGAACUGUCAAGAACUCCUUCCUUAGUGGGCAGUGGAGGUAAUGCAGGGUUCAGACCAUCUGUGCCCUGGACAGAGGCCUCUUUCUUCCCCAGGAAUGCUAAGCACAUGGGCAUCCUGAUACCUCAACUCCUCCAGUCCCAAAUACUCUGCCUGUUUGUCCCCUUUGUCCUGAGCCACCCCGUAGGACCUGCAGGUCAGGCACUGACUUCAUGUCAGGUCCCCGAAGCAGUUUUGUUCUCUCAGCAGUGUCCACUGGCCUGCAGCCAGGCACCUCUCUCCCCCAGCCUGGGUCACUGGCAAGGGAGCAAGAAGAGUUCUGGGCUCACAGCAGGCAGUGGAGUGUAGUCACAGAGCCUGAUCCGGCUUGAAAUCCCAGAUCCUUUGCUUACUAGGCUGUGUGGCCUUAGGUGAGUUACUUAAUCUCUCCGUGCUUCAGUUUCUGCAUAUGUAAAACAGGGAUAAUAUCUAGCUCACUGGGUUAUGAUGAGACGUAAGUAACUUCAUACAAACCCCUUAGGACUGAUGCCUGGGCAUUUCUAAGUACUCAGUGAAGGCAAGCUGCUGUUUUUAUGGGCCCAGGUCUAGGAAAAAAGAAUCAAACAGCCAGGGGAAAGGGGAUGCUCUCCACUGUAUAUUAAGUUCUAUCAUAGGGACCAUUUUAGCUAAACACAGAAAAACAGAGGAGGGGGCUGGGUGUGGUGGCUCAUGCCUGUAAUCCCAGACCUUAGGAGGCUGGAUUGCUUGAGCCCAGGAGUUCGAGACCAGCCUGGGCAAUAAAGUGAGACCCCCAUCUACAAAAGAUACAAAAUUUAGCUGGGUGUGGUGGCGCAUGCCUGUAGUUCCAGCUACUAGGGGGCAGGGUGAGGUGGGAGGGUAACUUGAGCCUGGGAGGCAGAGGUUGCAGUGAGCUGAGAUUGCAUCACUGGUCUCCAGCCUGGGCGACAGAGGGAGAUCCUAUCUCAAAAAAAAAAAAAAAAAAAAGACAGAGGAGGAACAAGGAACAAUUAUCCCCCAUUUUACAGAUCAAAAGCUGAGUGAAGCAGUGGUCCAGCUGGAAUUCAACACCUGAGAUAUCUGACUCCAGAUACCAGCCCUUCCUUGCUUCCCACUAGCUGCCUAACCCAGAGAGGAGAUUGGGAAAAGAGAAACAAGUUACAGAAUUCAAGAUGUCCCACUCAAACAUGGUAGCCACACUGAACUGAAUGAAGGCCCCCAAAUGCCUGCUUUCCCUUCUUCCAGCCUCUGCAGUGAAACUGCCAUUGCAAACUUGUAACAGACAGUGAAAGAGAUCUGACCUAACCAACUUCAUCUUGCUUCUAACCUCCAAGCUGUCCUUGUUGGUUCCUGGGCACAGGCUGAACUGACUUUGGGAGAAAGUUUAUAGUUUAAAACAAAGACGAUAACAGCCCUUUCCCAAAACAAACCUCCUUCUUGCCUGGGGACUAGACUGCCUUUGCAGGACAAGAAAUUAGCCACAAGAUUAGAAAUUAUGGUUUAGGAGUCAUGCAGCUGGAGACUACCAGGUUCUGACCCUCCCUAAACUGCUCCUCAGAUCAGUGCUUGAGACAUUUUGCAGACCCUGCACUUGAUGGAUCGGCUGGCACCACCCAGAUCAAUAAACUGGCUCAUCUGAUCUUGCAGCCUCCACCCAGGAACUGACUCAGCGCAAGAAGACAGCUUCGACUCUGUAUGAGUUCAUCUCCAACCUGACCAAUCAGCACUCCCGGCUCACUGGCUUCCCCCCAUCCACCAAGUUGUCCUUAAAACUCUGCUCCCCGAAUGCUUGGGGAGACUUAUUUGAGUAAUAAUAAAACUCUGUUCUUCUGCAC